AGGACGAACGCUGGCGGCGUGCUUAACACAUGCAAGUCGAGCGGUAAGGCCUCCUUCGGGGGGUACACGAGCGGCGAACGGGUGAGUAACACGUGAGUAACCUGCCCUGGACUUUGGGAUAACCCUCGGAAACGGGGGCUAAUACCGGAUACGACAACUCAUCGCAUGGUGUGGUUGUGGAAAGUUUUUCGGUUGGGAUGGGCUCGCGGUACUAUCAGCUUGUUGGUGGGGUGAUGGCCUACCAAGGCGACGACGGUUA
Molecule: ribosomal RNA, 259 nt
Filed under: uncultured bacterium
Lineage: Bacteria
Description: partial small subunit ribosomal RNA
Rfam family: Bacterial small subunit ribosomal RNA
Source: RNAcentral